Molecule: ribosomal RNA, 484 nt
Filed under: uncultured bacterium
Lineage: Bacteria
Description: partial 16S ribosomal RNA
Rfam family: Bacterial small subunit ribosomal RNA
Source: RNAcentral
AUUGAACGCUGGCGGCAGGCCUAACACAUGCAAGUCGAGCGGCAGAAGGGAGAUUGCUCCCGGUUACAGCGGCGGACGGGCGAGUGAGGCCGAGGAACAUGGCUAGCUGCGUGGGCGAACGUGCGGAAACGGGCGCUAAUACCGCAAACGUCCAGAGGGCGUACGUGGGGGAUCAUCGGACCUUCCGAUCUCGCACGAGCCUAUGUCGGAUUAGCUAGUUGGCGGGGUAAAGGCCUACCAAGGCGACGAUCCGUAGCUGGUCUGAGAGGAUGAUCAGCCACACUGGAACUGAGACACGGUCCAGACUCCUACGGGAGGCAGCAGUGGGGAAUAUUGGACAAUGGGCGAAAGCCUGAUCCAGCCAUGCCGCGUGUGUGAAGAAGGUCUUCGGAUUGUAAAGCCCUUUUGUUGGGGAAGAAGAGCAGUAGGUUAAUACCCCGCUGUUUUGACGUUACCCACAGAAUAAGCACCGGCUAACUUCGUG